Molecule: regulatory RNA element, 74 nt
Organism: Prevotella bivia DSM 20514
Lineage: Bacteria; Pseudomonadati; Bacteroidota; Bacteroidia; Bacteroidales; Prevotellaceae
Rfam family: L13-Bacteroidia ribosomal protein leader
Source: Rfam
GGGAUUUUCUUAGAAUCCCAUACGUUACGUGUUAAUAACAUAGUCUUUGGCCGGGCUAUGUGGUUAGGAAAAGC